AUGCAUGAAAUGAUUACCUACAAUCACACUCUUUCAAAGAUAAAAAAUAUAUCAAAUUGCUCUACUCCCUUGCUCGGUGACCGUGGCUACACCUAUCGAUCCAUUUCGAACCAUAAUCAAUUUGUGAGAAUUUUGUUUAUGGGAAGUCUUUGCAAACAUAAAAGAUCAAAUCACUUCUCAAUGAAAUUAGGAAGUGACAAAUGGCAAAGAAGACAUAGUGGUCCUCCAAUACAUGAGCUAGUAAAUUGGCACUACAUAAUAAAAUUAUUGUUAUCAAUACAAUGUAACAUCAACCAUUCACUAAUGCUAGGAAAUUUUCAUAAGCUCCGUUACCACAUCUAA
RNAcentral lists this ribosomal RNA (342 nucleotides) under Triticum aestivum (bread wheat). RNAcentral describes it as "partial small subunit ribosomal RNA". Lineage: Eukaryota; Viridiplantae; Streptophyta; Magnoliopsida; Poales; Poaceae. The record is from RNAcentral.